AUUGAACGCUGGCGGCAGGCCUAACACAUGCAAGUCGAGCGAGCGGCGGACGGGUGAGUAAUGUCUGGGAAACUGCCUGAUGGAGGGGGAUAACUACUGGAAACGGUAGCUAAUACCGCAUACCAUCAGAUGUGCCCAGAUGGGAUUAGCUAGUAGGUGGGGUAACGGCUCACCUAGGCGACGAUCCCUAGAUGGUGUGAGAGGAUGACCAGGCACACUGGAACUAGGACACGGUCCAGACACCUACGGGAGGCAGCAGUGAGGAAUAUUGAACAAUGGGCGCAAGCCUGAUGCAGCCAUGCCGCGUGAAUGAAGAAGGCCUUCGGGUUGUAAAGUUCUUUCGGUAGUGAGGCGUUAAAUACAGAAGAAGCACCGGCUAACUCCGUGCCAGCCGCCGCGGUAAUUC
RNAcentral lists this ribosomal RNA (406 nucleotides) under uncultured bacterium. RNAcentral's name for it is "partial 16S ribosomal RNA". It matches the Rfam family "Bacterial small subunit ribosomal RNA", at positions 30 to 526 of the family's 1533-position model. The record is from RNAcentral.